AGUGAACGCUGGCGGUAGGCCUAACACAUGCAAGUCGAACGGCAGCACAGUAAGAGCUUGCUCUUACGGGUGGCGAGUGGCGGACGGGUGAGGAAUACAUCGGAAUCUACUUUUUCGUGGGGGAUAACGUAGGGAAACUUACGCUAAUACCGCAUACGACCUACGGGUGAAAGCAGGGGAUCUUCGGACCUUGCGCGAUUGAAUGAGCCGAUGUCGGAUUAGCUAGUUGGCGGGGUAAAGGCCCACCAAGGCGACGAUCCGUAGCUGGUCUGAGAGGAUGAUCAGCCACACUGGAACUGAGACACGGUCCAGACUCCUACGGGAGGCAGCAGUGGGGAAUAUUGGACAAUGGGCGCAAGCCUGAUCCAGCCAUACCGCGUGGGUGAGGAAGGCCUUCGGGUUGUAAAGCCCUCUUGUUGGGAAAGAAAAGCAGCAGGUUAAUACCCCGCUGUUCUGACGGUACCCAAAGAAUAAGCACCGGCUAACUUCGUG
This 492-nucleotide ribosomal RNA is filed under the name uncultured bacterium. RNAcentral's name for it is "partial 16S ribosomal RNA". It matches the Rfam family "Bacterial small subunit ribosomal RNA", at positions 29 to 507 of the family's 1533-position model. The record is from RNAcentral.